CAAGACCUUGCGCUGAAGGAGCGGCCGAUGUCUGAUUAGCUUGUUGGUGAGGUAAAGGCUUGCCAAGGCAACGAUCAGUAGUUGGUCUGAGAGGACGGCCAACCACACUGGGAUUGAGACACGGCCCAGACUCCUACGGGAGGCAGCAGUGGGGAAUUUUGGACAAUGGGGGAAACCUUGAUCCAGCCAUGCCGCGUGAGUGAAGAAGGCCUUCGGGUUGUAAAGCUCUUUCAGCCGGAACGAAACGGUCACGGCUAAUACCCGUGACUACUGACGGUACCGGAAGAAGAAGCACCGGCUAACUACGUGCCAGCAGCCGCGGUAAUACGUAGGGUGCAAGCGUUAAUCGGAAUUACUGGGCGUAAAGGGUGCGCAGGCGGCCUUGCAAGUCGGAUGUGAAAGCCCCGGGCUUAACCUGGGAAUU
This 424-nucleotide ribosomal RNA is filed under the name uncultured Nitrosospira sp. RNAcentral describes it as "bacterial SSU rRNA". It matches the Rfam family "Bacterial small subunit ribosomal RNA", at positions 207 to 622 of the family's 1533-position model. Lineage: Bacteria; Pseudomonadati; Pseudomonadota; Betaproteobacteria; Nitrosomonadales; Nitrosomonadaceae. The record is from RNAcentral.